Molecule: non-coding RNA, 89 nt
Filed under: uncultured Mediterraneibacter sp.
Lineage: Bacteria; Bacillati; Bacillota; Clostridia; Lachnospirales; Lachnospiraceae
Description: TPP riboswitch (THI element)
Rfam family: TPP riboswitch aptamer (THI element)
About the family: Vitamin B(1) in its active form thiamin pyrophosphate (TPP) is an essential coenzyme that is synthesised by coupling of pyrimidine and thiazole moieties in bacteria. The previously detected thiamin-regulatory element, thi box was extended, resulting in a new, highly conserved RNA secondary structure, the THI element, which is widely distributed in eubacteria and also occurs in some archaea.
Source: RNAcentral
GACAAGGGGAGCUUGUAAUACAGGCUGAGAGGAAGUUGGAAACUUCGACCCAUAACCUGAUUUGGAUAAUGCCAACGUAGGGAUAUGUU